AGCUUUGUGCAGUGGCAGUAUUGUAGCCAAUGAGGUUUAUCUGAGGUGCGAUUAUUGCUAAUUGAAAACUUUUCCCAAUACCCCGCCAUGACAACUUGCAAUAUAGUUGGCAUUGGCAAUUUUUGACAGUCUCUAUGGAAA
This is a small nuclear RNA of Rattus norvegicus (Norway rat), 141 nucleotides long. Ensembl annotates it as U4 spliceosomal RNA. The record is from Ensembl. NCBI's taxonomy places the organism in Eukaryota, Metazoa, Chordata, Mammalia, Rodentia, Muridae.